Molecule: transfer RNA, 73 nt
Filed under: Camelus bactrianus (Bactrian camel)
Lineage: Eukaryota; Metazoa; Chordata; Mammalia; Artiodactyla; Camelidae
Also listed under: 3 other names
Rfam family: tRNA
About the family: Transfer RNA (tRNA) molecules are approximately 80 nucleotides in length. Their secondary structure includes four short double-helical elements and three loops (D, anti-codon, and T loops).
Source: Rfam by way of RNAcentral
GAGGGUAUAGCUCAAGUGGUAGAGCGCACGCUUAGAGCGCAAGAGGUCCUGGGUUCAAACCCCAGUACCUCCA